AGGACAAACGCUGGCGGCGUACCUAAGACAUGCAAGUCGAACGGGCGCCUUGCUUUCGGGCAAGGAUGCGAGUGGCGGAUGGGUGAGUAACGCGUAGGAACCUGUCCUUUUGUGGGGGAUACCAGUGGGAAACCGCUGCUAAUACCGCAUGAGGUCACCAUGGGAGACUGUGGUGAAGAAAGGCGAAAGCCGCAGAAGGAGGGGCCUGCGUCCGAUUAGCUGGUUAGUGGGGUAACGGCCUACCAAGGCAUCGAUCGGUAGCUGGUCUGAGAGGAUGGUCAGCCACACUGGGACUGAGACACGGCCCAGACUCCUACGGGAGGCAGCAGUUAGGAAAUUUUCACAAUGGGGGAAACCCUGAUGGAGUAACGCCGCGUGGAGGAAGACGGCCUUCGGUUGUAAACUCUUUCUGUGGAGAGUAGAGACGGUACGCAGGAAGAGUCUCGGCUAACUACGUGCCAGCAGCCGC
This 469-nucleotide ribosomal RNA is filed under the name uncultured bacterium. Its description in RNAcentral is "SSU rRNA". It matches the Rfam family "Bacterial small subunit ribosomal RNA", at positions 26 to 518 of the family's 1533-position model. The record is from RNAcentral.